RNAcentral lists this ribosomal RNA (497 nucleotides) under uncultured bacterium. RNAcentral's name for it is "partial 16S ribosomal RNA". It matches the Rfam family "Bacterial small subunit ribosomal RNA", at positions 28 to 507 of the family's 1533-position model. The record is from RNAcentral.
GAUGAACGCUGGCGGCGUGCCUAAUACAUGCAAGUCGAGCGAACGGAUGAGGAGCUUGCUCCUCUGACGUUAGCGGCGGACGGGUGAGUAACACGUGGAUAACCUACCUAUAAGACUGGGAUAACUUCGGGAAACCGGAGCUAAUACCGGAUAAUAUAUUGAACCGCAUGGUUCAAUAGUGAAAGACGGUUUUGCUGUCACUUAUAGAUGGAUCCGCGCCGCAUUAGCUAGUUGGUAAGGUAACGGCUUACCAAGGCAACGAUGCGUAGCCGGCCUGGGAGGGGUAAUCGACCACCCUGAACCGAGACAACGGUCAAGAUCCCAAGGGAGGCAGCAGUAGGGAAUCUUCCGCAAUGGGCGAAAGCCUGACGGAGCAACGCCGCGUGAGUGAUGAAGGUCUUCGGAUCGUAAAACUCUGUUAUUAGGGAAGAACAAAUGUGUAAGUAACUAUGCACGUCUUGACGGUACCUAAUCAGAAAGCCACGGCUAACUACGUG